UUCCGGUUGAUCCUGCCGGACCCUAUUGCUUUCGGGGUGGGACUAAAACAUGCAAGUCGAGCGCCUUCAAGCUAUGGUGAAGGCGCGGCAAACGGCUCAGUAACACGUGGCCAACCUACCCUUGGGACGGAGACAACCCCGGGAAACUGGGGCUAAUCCCCGAUAGGUAAGGAAUCCUGGAAUGGAUCUUUGCUGAAAGGGCGUCUAGACCAUGCUUCUUGACGUCGCCCAAGGAUGGAGCCGCGGCCGAUCAGGUAGUUGGCGAGGCAACGGCUCACCAAGCCUAUAACCGGUACGGGCCGUGAGAGCGGUAGCCCGGAGAUGGGCACUGAGACAAGGGCCCAGGCCCCACGGGGCGCAGCAGUUGCGAAAACUCCGCAAUGCGCGAAAGCGUGACGGGGCUACCCCGAGUGCCGCCCGUUGAGGGCGGCUUUUCCACGGUGUAAGGAGCCGUGGGAAUAAGGAGAGGGCAAGACUGGUGUCAGCCGCCGCGGUAAUACCAGCUCUCCGAGUGGUGGGGACGAUUAUUGGGCUUAAAGCGUUCGUAGCCGGCUUAACAAGUCUUCCGUUAAAUCCAACGAUCUAAUCGUUGGGCUGCGGGAGAUACUGUUGGGCUAGGAGGCGGGAGAAGCCGACGGUAUUCUCGGGGUAGGGGUGAAAUCCUGUAAUCCCGGGAGGACCACCAGUGGCGAAGGCGGUCGGCUAGAACGCGCUCGACGGUGAGGGACGAAAGCUGGGGGAGCGAAUCGGAUUAGAAACCCGAGUAGUCCCAGCUGUAACGAUGCGGGCUAGGUGUUGGGGUGGGCACGAGCCACUUCAGUGCCGAUGGGAAGCAAUUAAGCCCGCCGGCUGGGAGUACGGCCGCAAGGCUGAAACUUAAAGGAUGGGCGGGGGAGCCACCACAAGCGUGAAGCUUGCCGUUAAUGGA
RNAcentral lists this ribosomal RNA (928 nucleotides) under uncultured archaeon. RNAcentral describes it as "bacterial SSU rRNA". It matches the Rfam family "Archaeal small subunit ribosomal RNA", at positions 1 to 910 of the family's 1478-position model. The record is from RNAcentral.